CAUUUUAAAGGGAAGAAAAAUCUGCAAAGUGGAGCACUCUCAGCAGCCCAUCUGUUGUGGGCCGGCAAGGGGCUGAUCUGGAACCAGGAACUGGGAACAGAGCAGGGGGUGUGGGUGUCAGGCCACACAGAGUUUGGAAGCCUGCCAGGUCCUGGUCCUACUAAAACCUGAAAGACCAACAGAGCUGAGUCGUCACUUCCUGCCCCGCCUCCCCAGGGCACAAUGGGAACACUGUUGUUGUGUGCCCCGCUCAGCAUGUGCAGAAGUUGAACAGAAACUACCUCCUUCAACGUUCCUGAUUUCCAGAGGGUGCUUUCCAGCACCAGCACAUGACUCCACACUGCCAGGAAAAUGUGGGAGCGCCCAGGAGAUUGAGCCUUAGGACAAGCAAAUG
RNAcentral lists this long non-coding RNA (394 nucleotides) under Ictidomys tridecemlineatus (thirteen-lined ground squirrel). RNAcentral's name for it is "lncRNA (ENSSTOG00000030597.1)". Lineage: Eukaryota; Metazoa; Chordata; Mammalia; Rodentia; Sciuridae. The record is from RNAcentral.